GAUGAAGGAACGUAGCGAAAUGCGAUAAGUAAUGUGAAUUGCAGAAUUCAGUGAAUCAUCGAAUCUUUGAACGCACCUUGCGCUCUUUGGUAUUCCGAAGAGCAUGCCUGUUUGAGUGUCAUGAAAAUAUCAACCUUGACUUGGGUUUUGUGCUCUAGUCUCGGCUUGGAAUUGGGUGCUUGCCGCUUUUACGAGCGGCUCACCUUAAAUGUAUUAGCUGGAUCUGUCUUUGAGACUUGGUUUGACUUGGCGUAAUAAGUAUUUCGCUAAGGACAUUCUUCGGAGUGGCCUCGUUUCUAGGACGCUUGUCCGCUUUCCAAUACAAGUUCCACCUCGUGGACAUGACUUUUUAUUAUCUGGCCUCAAAUCAGGUAGGACUACCCGCUGAACUUAAGCAUAUCAAUAAGCGGAGGA
This 414-nucleotide unclassified non-coding RNA is filed under the name soil metagenome. RNAcentral describes it as "partial contains 5.8S ribosomal RNA, internal transcribed spacer 2, and large subunit ribosomal RNA". The stretch from base 1 to 121 matches the Rfam family "5.8S ribosomal RNA", at positions 35 to 154 of the family's 154-position model. The record is from RNAcentral.